Molecule: ribosomal RNA, 422 nt
Filed under: uncultured bacterium
Lineage: Bacteria
Description: bacterial SSU rRNA
Rfam family: Bacterial small subunit ribosomal RNA
Source: RNAcentral
UAAGGAAUAUUGGUCAAUGGAGGCAACUCUGAACCAGCCAUGCCGCGUGAAGGAUUAAGGCCCUCUGGGUUGUAAACUACUUUUAUAUGGGAAGAAAUGUACUUUUUCUAAAGUGCUUGACGGUACCAUAGGAAUAAGCACCGGCUAACUCCGUGCCAGCAGCCGCGGUAAUACGGAGGGUGCAAGCGUUAUCCGGAGUUACUGGGUUUAAAGGGUGCGUAGGCGGAUGAAUAAGUCAGUGGUGAAAUCUCCGAGCUUAACUCGGAAACUGCCGUUGAUACUGUUAGUCUUGAGUACAGUUGAGGUAGGCGGAAUGUGUCAUGUAGCGGUGAAAUGCUUAGAUAUGACACAGAACACCGAUUGCGAAGGCAGCUUGCUAAGCUGUAACUGACGCUGAGGCACGAAAGCGUGGGGAGCAAACA